Molecule: ribosomal RNA, 200 nt
Filed under: uncultured bacterium
Lineage: Bacteria
Description: partial 16S ribosomal RNA
Rfam family: Bacterial small subunit ribosomal RNA
Source: RNAcentral
AACGAACGCUGGCGGCAGGCUUAACACAUGCAAGUCGAACGGUUGUAGCAAUACAGCAGUGGCAGACGGGUGAGUAACACGUGGGAACCUUCCUAGGGGUACGGAACAACUCAGGGAAACUUGAGCUAAUACCGUAUACGUCCGUGAGGGAGAAAGAUUUAUCGCCCCUAGACGGGCCCGCGUAGGAUUAGGUAGUUUGG